Molecule: ribosomal RNA, 1668 nt
Filed under: Listeria monocytogenes
Lineage: Bacteria; Bacillati; Bacillota; Bacilli; Caryophanales; Listeriaceae
Description: partial 23S ribosomal RNA
Rfam family: Bacterial large subunit ribosomal RNA
Source: RNAcentral
GAUGCCUUGGCACUAGAAGCCGAUGAAGGACGUUACUAACGACGAUAUGCUUUGGGUAGCUGUAAGUAAGCGUUGAUCCAGAGAUUUCCGAAUGGGGGAACCCAGCAUGAGUUAUGUCAUGUUAUCGACAUGUGAAUUCAUAGCAUGUCAGAAGGCAGACCCGGAGAACUGAAACAUCUUAGUACCCGGAGGAAGAGAAAGAAAAAUCGAUUCCCUGAGUAGCGGCGAGCGAAACGGGAAGAGCCCAAACCAACAAGCUUGCUUGUUGGGGUUGUAGGACACUCUAUACGGAGUUACAAAAGAACAUGUUAGACGAAUCAUCUGGAAAGAUGAAUCAAAGAAGGUAAUAAUCCUGUAGUCGAAAACAUAUUCUCUCUUGAGUGGAUCCUGAGUACGACGGAGCACGUGAAAUUCCGUCGGAAUCUGGGAGGACCAUCUCCUAAGGCUAAAUACUCUCUAGUGACCGAUAGUGAACCAGUACCGUGAGGGAAAGGUGAAAAGUACCCCGGAAGGGGAGUGAAAGAGAACUUGAAACCGUGUGCUUACAAGUAGUCAGAGCCCGUUAAUGGGUGAUGGCGUGCCUUUUGUAGAAUGAACCGGCGAGUUACGAUCUGAUGCAAGGUUAAGCAGCAAAUGUGGAGCCGCAGCGAAAGCGAGUCUGAAUAGGGCGUUGAGUAUUUGGUCGUAGACCCGAAACCAGGUGAUCUACCCUUGGUCAGGUUGAAGUUCAGGUAACACUGAAUGGAGGACCGAACCGACUUACGUUGAAAAGUGAGCGGAUGAACUGAGGGUAGCGGAGAAAUUCCAAUCGAACUUGGAGAUAGCUGGUUCUCUCCGAAAUAGCUUUAGGGCUAGCCUCAAGUGAUGAUUAUUGGAGGUAGAGCACUGUUUGGACGAGGGGCCCCUCUCGGGUUACCGAAUUCAGACAAACUCCGAAUGCCAAUUAAUUUAACUUGGGAGUCAGAACAUGGGUGAUAAGGUCCGUGUUCGAAAGGGAAACAGCCCAGACCACCAGCUAAGGUCCCAAAAUAUAUGUUAAGUGGAAAAGGAUGUGGCGUUGCCCAGACAACUAGGAUGUUGGCUUAGAAGCAGCCAUCAUUUAAAGAGUGCGUAAUAGCUCACUAGUCGAGUGACACUGCGCCGAAAAUGUACCGGGGCUAAACAUAUUACCGAAGCUGUGGAUUGUCCUUUGGACAAUGGUAGGAGAGCGUUCUAAGGGCGUCGAAGCAUGAUCGCAAGGACAUGUGGAGCGCUUAGAAGUGAGAAUGCCGGUGUGAGUAGCGAAAGACGGGUGAGAAUCCCGUCCACCGAUUGACUAAGGUUUCCAGAGGAAGGCUCGUCCGCUCUGGGUUAGUCGGGUCCUAAGCUGAGGCCGACAGGCGUAGGCGAUGGAUAACAGGUUGAUAUUCCUGUACCACCUAGUAUCGUUUUAAUCGAUGGGGGGACGCAGUAGGAUAGGCGAAGCGUGCUGUUGGAGUGCACGUCCAAGCAGUAAGGCUGAGUGUUAGGCAAAUCCGGCACUCAUAAGGCUGAGCUGUGAUGGGGAGAGGAAAUUGUUUCCUCGAGUCGUUGAUUUCACACUGCCGAGAAAAGCCUCUAGAUAGAUAACAGGUGCCCGUACCGCAAACCGACACAGGUAGUCAAGAUGAGAAUUCUAAGGUGAGCGAG